RNAcentral lists this ribosomal RNA (413 nucleotides) under uncultured bacterium. RNAcentral describes it as "bacterial SSU rRNA". It matches the Rfam family "Bacterial small subunit ribosomal RNA", at positions 352 to 782 of the family's 1533-position model. The record is from RNAcentral.
CAGUGGGGAAUAUUGGACAAUGGGCGCAAGCCUGAUCCAGCCAUGCCGCGUGAGUGAUGAAGGCCUUAGGGUUGUAAAGCUCUUUCAGUGGGGAAGAUAAUGACGGUACCCACAGAAGAAGCCCCGGCUAACUUCGUGCCAGCAGCCGCGGUAAUACGAAGGGGGCUAGCGUUGUUCGGAUUUACUGGGCGUAAAGCGCACGUAGGCGGAUUGGUCAGUUAGGGGUGAAAUCCUGGAGCUCAACUCCAGAACUGCCUUUAAUACUGCCAGUCUCGAGUCCGGAAGAGGUAAGUGGAACUCCUAGUGUAGAGGUGGAAUUCGUAGAUAUUAGGAAGAACACCAGUGGCGAAGGCGGCUUACUGGUCCGGUACUGACGCUGAGGUGCGAAAGCGUGGGGAGCAAACAGGAUUAGA